Molecule: ribosomal RNA, 447 nt
Filed under: uncultured bacterium
Lineage: Bacteria
Description: bacterial SSU rRNA
Rfam family: Bacterial small subunit ribosomal RNA
Source: RNAcentral
UCCAGACUCCUACGGGAGGCAGCAGUGGGGGAUAUUGCACAAUGGGGGAAACCCUGAUGCAGCAACGCCGCGUGAGUGAAGAAGUAUUUCGGUAUGUAAAGCUCUCUCAGCAGGGAAGAGAAUGACGGUACCUGACUAAGAAGCCCCGGCUAACUACGUGCCAGCAGCCGCGGUAAUACGUAGGGGGCGAGCGUUAUCCGGAUUUACUGGGUGUAAAGGGAGCGUAGACGGCUGGUCAAGUCUGAAGUGAAAGCCCGGGGCUUAACCCCGGAACGGCUUUGGAAACUGAGCAGCUAGAGUGCUGGAGAGGUAAGCGGAAUUCCUAGUGUAGCGGUGAAAUGCGUAGAUAUUAGGAGGAACACCAGUGGCGAAGGCGGCUUACUGGACAGUAACUGACGUUGAGGCUCGAAAGCGUGGGGAGCAAACAGGAUUAGAUACCCGCGUAUG